This 2055-nucleotide unclassified non-coding RNA is filed under the name Aphidius gifuensis. RNAcentral's name for it is "cCR4-NOT transcription complex subunit 10, transcript variant X1". The record is from RNAcentral. Lineage: Eukaryota; Metazoa; Arthropoda; Insecta; Hymenoptera; Braconidae.
UGUGAAUAGUGAAUACUGGGUGCUGAAAACUUAAACUUUUCUAACCUUAAGUACUAAAUGUUAAAAGAUCAAACUGAAUAGUAAAAUGUCUUAAUGUUAUAAAAAACUUAUAAAAUGACUGAAUGUAGUGAAUCUUCGUCGAAACAAGCCAGUACAGUUGUAUUAACCGAGCAUGAACGAGACCUCGCACAAAAUGCCUUAUUAGAAUUUCAAAAAAAGUCAUACACCACUUGCUUAACAUAUUUAAAUAAACUGGAAUUAUUGAGGCCUAAGGAUUUACAAGUCAUACACAAUAAAAUAGUUGUUGAGUAUUAUAAAUGUGAUUUUAAAAAAACAGAACUAGCGAGAAAAACUUUGAAUGCUGUUUGUGGUAACCCAGUUCUUACUGAUGCACCACAAGAUACAUCCGAAGAUGUUGAAAAAUGUGUUAUACGAUAUAAUCAAGCCGUUCUACAUUACCAUACACGACAAUACGAAGCUGCACUCCAAAUUCUUAAUAGACUUUUUACAUUUGUAGAAGCAAUGGAAGAAAAUUUGGCAUGGAAAGUUUGCUUACUCUUAAUUGAACUUUAUAUUCAAACAAAUCGGCUUGAUGCAACUCUAUCAUUAAUAAACUACGUUGAGAGUCAAUUUAUCUGUUCAUCUGAAACGAUAAAAUCAUCAUCAUCUGGUGAUAAUUUGAAUCCAACAAAGACAGCAUCAGUAUCAAAAGAAACAAAAAUACAAAAAAAAGAUAAUACUGAUUCUCAGAAUGACUUGUUUCGUAUAAAAUUACUAAAAUACAAAGCACGAAUUUAUCUGCUUUUACGUCAACCAAAACUAUGUCAAAAAGAAUGGGAUACAAUGUUGUUAGUUGGUGCUCCACAAACAACAUCAACAAUUUUUUUGAAAGCCCAUUAUGAAUAUGUACUUGGUAAUUAUGAUAAAUCAAUAAAAUUAUUAAAUUCAGCCACAGAUAAUUUAGAUUACAAAUUAUGUGGUGGAUCAGCAGCAGUUAUUUAUUACAACAAUAUGGCCUGUAUUAAUUAUUCUCGUUCAAAGCCAAAUUUAGCGGCAUUUUAUUUGGAAAAAGCAUUAGAAGAAAAUAAAAAGUCAAUUGAAUCAAUUCGUGGUAAAGAGACAGAUAAAGAUCCAUUAUCAUCACAACCAGUGUAUACACUUGGUGGUGAUAAACAUCACGAACUGAUGUUUAGUUUAGGUAUUUCACUUUUACAAGCUGGACAAGCAACUAGAGCAUUCGAUUGUUUUCUUGAAGCAGCCCAAAGACUCCAAAAUAAUCCAAUUCUAUGGCUCAAACUUGCUGAAUGUUGUGUCUAUUGUCACAAACCAACCAAUGAAGUUGAUUUUGAUGUCAUAAAGUUUCGAGAUUGCUUGGUUCAAAAAGUCAUAGGAAAUGGUAACAAUAAAAAAAUUAUAUUAUCAUCUGGAUUGAAUACUGACACAAAAUAUCAUUGCGAGAGCUUGUCGUAUGCAAUACCACAACCAACAAUUGAAUUUGCCAUGUUGUGCCUUAAAAAUGCACUGUUUGCUUUGCCAAAAAAAGAAAAUAUGCAAUGUCCAUCAUCAAGUUUAAGUGGUUUACCAUUUAAUUCAUCAGUUAAUUUAUCCAGUGGCAAUACAAGUGGUUUACGAGGAUCAAUUGGAAGCUCAGCACCACCUUGUGGUAUUGUUAGUACGCAUCCAUCAAUGUCUAUCAUACCAAUUACGUCGCAUGCAACAUGGAUUGAAGUGAUGAAUCUUAAAAUUGCGAUACUUGCUGCAUCAUCAUAUGUAUCACUUUGUCUUGGUGAUUAUACGGUUGCAUUCGAACAUGCAAAAACAUUAUUAAAAAUUGAAAAAAUACCAGGAUCUUUUCGAUUUGGAUUUGUCAAUUGAUAUGCUUGAUGUUGAUAGUGAGCAAAAUAAUGAUUGUAAUGUUAAUGUAUUUGCUUUUAAACACAAAUGGUUUCCAAGAAGUCUAAGAACAGCCAAUGCAGUGAUGCGGUAUAAUUUAGCGGUUGCUUACGCAAUAAGAGGAGAACUCGAUAAAUCAGGAGAAACACUAAAACAAGUUUA